GACAGAGGGAAGGAACGAGAGUUAGUGUCUUAAUGACAACCAGUGUUUCAUACCUUCAGGUCAGAUGAUUCAGAAAAAAAGUUAACAUGUGGACUCAAUUUUCAAAGAUGUGAUUCUAGUCUUGCAAAAAUCUACUUCUUGAUUCAAUCAUACUGAAUCAUUAGAAAAACUAAAUUCUAUGGGAGAGAAAAAAGAGAGAGGAAAUUAUACAUCCUUGAGAGGAGAACACCAGCAUUUCAAAAGUUAAUUUAGUAGGAAUAUUCAAGCAGCAUUAAGUUCAACUUAGUUUUGUUGUCAUGAGUGUCUUAUUAUUUCUAGUAGUAAGAUAAUCUACUGACCCUUCCUAAAUCCAACAUGUGCUCAUUUGGGAUUCUAAUCUGGAACAAUGGACUCUGGAACAGUGAGGAAUCAGAAAGCAAAGAGACAAGUUUUCCUAUGUCAAAAAACACCGCAUUCUGUCAUUUUCUAGAGUUUCAAGUAACAGAGUCUUAAUCCAUCCUGGGCAUCAUACGGGAACUUGCAUAAGUCCCAUGGAAGUCAACAAAUGCUACCCCUCAGCAAAUAUUUACACUCCGGAUAAGUAAUACCAUCAAGGACAAUCUUGAAAAUGAGGGCCAGACUGCACAUAAACUACAUGUAAAUUUAGAGGGUGGAGAGGGUUCCAAAAGAAGGAAAACCUUAGUGUAAAUAUAAAAACAUGAGAGUACUGCAACUGAAAAAGCCAAGCUCAGCUUGGGAGUGUGACACUAUAUGAUAUUAUGGAGUAGUAGAAAGUCAAGCAACUGUGUUAGCCAGGAUCCUAGCUUCUGGUAGACAAAUUGAACCGUAGUCCCUAUCUGACAGUGCUGGGUAGGCUGAGGGAAGGAAAACAGUUUCAGAGAAUGGGAGAAAAGAUAGUCUAAGGUGUGGAAAAGAGAAAAAUCUCUCUUGUCUGAGCGUUCAGCAGGGUCAAUGUCUCUCUCAUUCUUUCUCUCCACACAGGGCCCUUAUUCUUUUGCUUCAUGAAAGGAUCCUGCCUCUGGGUUGGCUACGCAAUUUUAUUAGUAGUUUGUAGGAGGGCUGAAAUCUUGGCAAUUGAAUCUAAUUUCCAGGGUUGUAAAGUCUGACCUGGAAAUGUAAGUCAUUAAUGAAAAGGAAGUGGCUUAUUAUGCAACCAAAGAAAAAUAAUGUGUCUGAAAGAUAGAGCCAUUUGUUUCUAGCUAUCAGGUUGCUAAUUUAUGGGCAGUUUUCAAAUUAUCCAGUGGAUCUUUGCAGCAAGCCUUGUAGCCUCUGGAGACUGUGAAAUCAUAGUGAUAGUAUGCCUACUCUUGCUAGCAUGUAACCAAUAUGGCCCACACACUGUAGGGUUGAGAUUGCCUAUGGAUUCAACAAGCCUAGAGUAGAUUUUUUAGAAGACAUGUCCUUGGUUUGGAAUCAUCCAGAGUAGUUAUUUGCCUCAAAUUAUGUAUAAACUCCUGCUUUUUAACAUAUGUUCUGUGGGAUAUUAAAAACAUUUCUUGGAGCACCA
Long non-coding RNA from Herpailurus yagouaroundi (jaguarundi), 1507 nucleotides. RefSeq lists it as uncharacterized. The record is from RefSeq and is a predicted model, not a curated record. NCBI's taxonomy places the organism in Eukaryota, Metazoa, Chordata, Mammalia, Carnivora, Felidae. The transcript has 2 exons.